CCCAGACUCCUACGGGAGGCAGCAGUGGGGGAUAUUGCACAAUGGGGGGAACCCUGAUGCAGCGACGCCGCGUGGGUGAAGGAGCGUUUCGGCGCGUAAAGCCCUAUCGGCAGGGAAGAAGGAGGACGGUACCUGACUAAGAAGCCCCGGCUAACUACGUGCCAGCAGCCGCGGUAAUACGUAGGGGGCAAGCGUUAUCCGGAUUUACUGGGUGUAAAGGGGGCGCAGACGGCAGCGCAAGCCAGGAGUGAAAGCCCGGGGCCCAACCCCGGGACUGCUCUUGGAACUGCGCGGCUGGAGUGCAGGAGGGGCAGGCGGAAUUCCUGGUGUAGCGGUGAAAUGCGUAGAUAUCAGGAGGAACACCGGUGGCGAAGGCGGCCUGCUGGACUGCGACUGACGUUGAGGCCCGAAAGCGUGGGGAGCAAACAGGAUUAGAUACCCUCGUAU
Molecule: ribosomal RNA, 447 nt
Filed under: uncultured bacterium
Lineage: Bacteria
Description: bacterial SSU rRNA
Rfam family: Bacterial small subunit ribosomal RNA
Source: RNAcentral